This 73-nucleotide transfer RNA is filed under the name Stegodyphus mimosarum. It matches the Rfam family "tRNA". From Rfam's summary of the family: Transfer RNA (tRNA) molecules are approximately 80 nucleotides in length. Their secondary structure includes four short double-helical elements and three loops (D, anti-codon, and T loops). Lineage: Eukaryota; Metazoa; Arthropoda; Arachnida; Araneae; Eresidae. The record is from Rfam by way of RNAcentral.
GCCUUCGUGGUGUAGUGGUCAGCACGCUGGACGCGUAACCGAGAGGUCCGUGGUUCGAUUCCCGACGAAGGCA